CCUACGGGAGGCAGCAGUAGGGAAUAUUGCUCAAUGGGGGAAACCCUGAAGCAGCAACGCCGCGUGGAGGAUGAAGGUUUUCGGAUUGUAAACUUCUUUUGUUAGAGAAGAUAAUGACGGUAUCUAACGAAUAAGCACCGGCUAACUCCGUGCCAGCAGCCGCGGUAAUACGCGGGUUUCAGGGGUUAUUCGGAGUCACUGGGCGUAAAAGGGGCGUAGAGGGGUUAACAAGUCAGAUGUGAAAUCCUAUGGCUUAACCAUAGAACUGCAUUUUAAACUGUUAUUCUGGAGUAUGGGUGGGGUAGGUGGAAUUCUUGGUGUAGGGGUAAAAUCCGUAGAGAUCAAGAAGAAUACUCAUUGCGAAGGCGACCUGCUAGAACAUCACUGACGCUGAUGCGCGAAAGCGUGGGGAGCAAACAGGAUUAGAUACCCUAGUAGUC
RNAcentral lists this ribosomal RNA (440 nucleotides) under uncultured bacterium. Its description in RNAcentral is "partial 16S ribosomal RNA". It matches the Rfam family "Bacterial small subunit ribosomal RNA", at positions 338 to 795 of the family's 1533-position model. The record is from RNAcentral.